UGAGUAUUUUUAUUGAUUCAAGUAAUGUAUCAAGCCUGAUGCUGUGAAAAUUAAAGACUAAUAAAAAACUGACGUAUCAGAAGCAUGUAUUAAUAUUAGCUUUUUUGUUUUUUUGUGGUACUGGGGAUUGAACUCAGGACCUUGUGCUUACAAGGCAGGUGCAGUGCUGCCAAACUAAAUCCCUGGCCCCAGCUAUUGUUUUUAAUAAGUUGGUUUUAUUAGCUUUUAUUAUUAAUACACUGUUGGCAUUUUUAUCUGUUUAAGCUUUCAUUAAUCUGAGUUUCUCCUUUAAACAGUGUAUUGAAAAUGUUUCUCGGCAGAAUUGUCCAAUAUGUUUGGAGGACAUUCAUACAUCCCGUGUUGUUGCUCAGGUCUUGCCAUGUGGACAUCUUUUACAUAGAACGUGUUAUGAAGAAAUGUUGAAAGAGUGAGUUUUGAUGGAAUUUUAAAAACUUAUAAUUGUAAGAUGUCUUUCCUUUGUGUGUGUGUAAGUAAGGAGGUGGGCAAAUGUGACUGCUGCUUACACAUUAUUGGGCAUGACAGAUGUUUAUGUUGAGAUCAGUAGGGUAGAUGAAUGGUAUUAAACUGGCCACAGCAUCUUGAGGAUAUGUGACUGUACCUGAAUUCCAGUUUCUCUUACGCCUUAUGUACUCCCACAACUCAAGACAGAUACUUGUUGUUUAGCCAUGCUUGUCAAGGAACACUCUCCACCAGAGGCAGUCAUGGUAUUCUGAAAACACUGAGGAGGGUGCUAAAAAUGUUGUCAGGUCAUGGAAAACUGGUAAAGAAUUUAC
This is a long non-coding RNA of Fukomys damarensis (Damara mole-rat), 794 nucleotides long. RefSeq lists it as uncharacterized. Lineage: Eukaryota; Metazoa; Chordata; Mammalia; Rodentia; Bathyergidae. The transcript has 3 exons. The record is from RefSeq and is a predicted model, not a curated record.